UGACAAAUGGUCUCUAAAAUUUGUUCGAGUUCAAGAAAAUAAAAUGUAAAUAAUAGUAUUUUGUAAUGAAAAGGCGCACAAUUUUGCUGGUAAAUGUAAAUAAAAUAAUAUUGGUAUGUGUUUCGAAAAACGUUCAACAUUUUGACAGUCCACAGGUGAAAGCAUUUUUUAAAAAGUGUGUCAAACUCGGCAGUCAGUAUUCCUACCUGUUCGUUUUUACCUGAACAUCACAACCAGGAAGUUUUCUCUCCAAUCACAUGAAGCUUACGUCACUCCGAAUGAGAAUGACAAGUGCGUACUGUUAGAAAUAACUGACCCGAAAAUAAAUAGACAUUUGGAGCUCGACAGAAUGCUGCGGCUUAUCUGCUGUUGUUGUUUUUCUGAUGAGAACUCUUUAAAUGAGAGACAGCCCCUCCUGCAAUCCACAACAUCAGACCCAAACGAGCCUGGAUCAGCCAGGCAGAAACCACCAGCACACAGUGCAAACACAGCCCAGCGAACUGGCAGGCUGCUGAUGAGGCGAGUGGGUGUUGCAGAGUUGGACCAGAGGUUUUCUGAAGUGGCCGAGACCUUUAAUGAACAACAGC
Long non-coding RNA from Cynoglossus semilaevis (tongue sole), 587 nucleotides. RefSeq lists it as uncharacterized. The transcript is spliced from 3 exons. NCBI's taxonomy places the organism in Eukaryota, Metazoa, Chordata, Actinopteri, Pleuronectiformes, Cynoglossidae. The record is from RefSeq and is a predicted model, not a curated record.